GAUGAACGCUGGCGGCGUGCCUAAUACAUGCAAGUCGAGCGAACAGACGAGGAGCUUGCUCCUCUGACGUUAGCGGCGGACGGGUGAGUAACGCGUGGAUAACCUACCUAUAACACUGGGAUAACUUCGGGAAACCGGAGCUAAUACCGGAUAAUAUAUUGAACCGCAUGGUUCAAUAGUGAAAGACGGUUUUGCUGUCACUUAUAGAUGGAUCCGCGCCGCAUUAGCUAGUUGGUAAGGUAACGGCUUACCAAGGCAACGAUGCGUAGCCGACCUGAGAGGGUGAUCGGCCACACUGGAACUGAGACACGGUCCAGACUCCUACGGGAGGCAGCAGUAGGGAAUCUUCCGCAAUGGGCGAAAGCCUGACGGAGCAACGCCGCGUGAGUGAUGAAGGUCUUCGGAUCGUAAAACUCUGUUAUUAGGGAAGAACAAAUGUGUAAGUAACUAUGCACGUCUUGACGGUACCUAAUCAGAAAGCCACGGCUAACUACGUG
This 497-nucleotide ribosomal RNA is filed under the name uncultured bacterium. Its description in RNAcentral is "partial 16S ribosomal RNA". It matches the Rfam family "Bacterial small subunit ribosomal RNA", at positions 28 to 507 of the family's 1533-position model. The record is from RNAcentral.